AUGAGCACCUGGCCAUACUUAUGUAUUCUGAUAUCAUUUUUUGGUGGCGAUAAAAAGUCAGGGUUGGGCCUUCCCUGGGGGACUAGUUGUUUCCACUCUCAGUCAUCCUGGGAAGAGUCAGCUCCUAGGACAAGGCAGAGAUUAUAGACAGGUUUUCAAGGACAUAAUACUUUGAGAAGAAGAUAAGCAUAUGAGCAGUGAUUAUUAAAACAAAUAAUUAUAAGAAAAAAACAGAACUGAGUUAUCAUUAUUUUCAUCACAAGUUUAGCUGCCUAAGCAGGUUUAGCCUGCAAUCCUAUGAACCAGUUCCACAGAAGGGAAACACACAACCCUUAUCAAAGACCCACACAACUAAAAAGCAACUGUUUCAUCCUGCAAAAUAAUUUCCAAGAUGAUAGAAACUAUGCCAAGAAGAAAUGGACUAAGGUCAAGGAUAGAGGAAUGAGCAAAAGAGCUCAGGAAAAAAAGCAGUGGUUAUAUUGGCUUUACUCCUCUCAAAAUGUUUGAUGGAAAAGACCAACUCUCCAUGGACAGUCAAGUAUUUAUACUGAUGCUGCUGGAGGCUCUUUGAGGUUAUAGUAGGUUAUUACUGACCAGCUCAGGGAACUAAUUUGCAGGGACAGGCCUAUGUCUGCGUCUUCUCUAGUCAUAACUCCCUCCUACUGCUCAUAGGAUCCAUUAGGGGCCUGUGCAAGGCAAUGGAUUUCUACACUCCCAUCAUCAGAAUGCGGAGUUUUCUCCCCAUGCCUCUUAGGGAAUUUUGUUUUAUGACAUCAUUUGAUUUUCAGUGUCCCAUCUCCACUGAUUUCCCAGGCAAAUAAACCUACUAAAGCUCAUUAGAAAACCAACACUUCACGCAGUUACAAAAACCACCGCUAUUUAUAGGGCAUAUGCUCUUAGGUGUUACUAGGUAAUAUUAGGUAUUAUUCUACCACCACUGGAUAGAUCUUAAUUAUUGCCAAGUAUACAAUAAUAAAAUUGCUGCCAAGUGUUAUCCUUUUGUCUGAAGCUAAUGGAUGUGCCUCCACUUCGUCUACUCUCAGCAGCUGUGACCAUCAUCUAAAUGAAUAUAAGAAUUGAAUUAACGUGCAACUGAAGAAACUAUCCCUGUGUUAGUUGGGACCCACAGAAAAUAGAAGGCAUGCUCUGAUGGGGUUUCUGAAGAGACUGUAAUGAAAGAAAUUUUUGCAGAGGCUUGGGUGUGAUCAAGGAAACCUACAGGCAAAGCUGAGGAUUCCAAGGAUAGUACCAGAGCAAGUCAUUACCACCCUGAGAGCUGAGCCCUGACAGAGUGAGGGAAGAUGCAUGUCAUUGGAUCCUGGGAGAGCUGAAAGAGAAAAGCAAAAGUAAAACACAGAGAAUGUUCUCAAAUUUUCAUAGUUGGAGAGGAAUUCCAGCAAGAGUUGCAUUUCUGCUAGAGGUGUAUUGUGAAGGUGUGGAAAUACAAGUUAAUGAAAGGGAUAAAACAAAUGUUCUGGGAAAGACGAAGUUACAAUAAAUGGAAAAGGGGGCUUCAUAUUAACACUCUGGCCCCACAGCCAUGAACUAGGAUGGCAACCACCACUACUUACGGUCGAGAGGAGGCCUCACAUUAUAGAAGUUGAUGUUCUUGGCAAAUGCCCAGCUUUCUGAGAAGAUAAUGAUCUGGACAACAGCUAUAGCGAGAGCGUGACAGAGGAGGAGCAUGCUGACCUUGUGUGCUGGGCGGUCCGAACUCUUAUAUCUAUGGUGAAAAGACACACUGGUUCAGUUUCUUUAUAUUUUACAUCAGUGGGUUUGUGUUUUGCUUCUGUUUGGAAAGCUCCAUUAUCCAAAUAUAUCCAACCAUCUACCUGUUGUGUAGGGCCAGGACCUGCGAGUAAAUUGCAUUGUUUUUGAUCAAAUGAAAGGUAAGUAAUGACCUCCUUCUACUGGUCAGGCCUCUGCACUAGCCAGGUGGGCUUUAGCAGAACACUCGAUGGCCUUUUGAGUUCAGGAAGGACAAGCAGGCAGAGCUGGCCUGGCUGCACCCCAUUCCCUCAGUGACUGCGGCUAGCUGGUUUCCUCUGUGCUGAAUCACUGGAUUUCUUAAGUCAACCGUGGUUCUGAGGCAUGUUGAGCCAAAGUCACUGGACCACCUAUCUGUCAGUUCCAUUCCUUGAAUCAACAUUUGCAUUUGAUAAAUUUUGCAACUCUUUCAAAACCUAGAAGAAUCAAUAAAAGUGGGAGCAGUGAGAAGGAGAGCAGGGGAAAGGACAAGGAGUCUGAGAAAUAAAAUCUCUGCCAGAUCCUAGAGCACACCGACAUUGAGAAGAGAGACAAGAGUCGUUGUGAACUGCCAGCCCCUCCUGUUUCUGUCACCCUGAGCACAAGAAGCUGCCAGGAGGCUCUAGAGGAAACAGAAUAAAAGUUGUCUGAAAAGCU
Long non-coding RNA from Pan troglodytes (chimpanzee), 2403 nucleotides. RefSeq lists it as uncharacterized. Lineage: Eukaryota; Metazoa; Chordata; Mammalia; Primates; Hominidae. The record is from RefSeq and is a predicted model, not a curated record. The transcript is spliced from 5 exons.